GGCUUGUUAUACCUAAAUUCUAUCAGAAUUGGUAAAUUUUGCAAAUGAAUUCUAUAAGGGUAUGGGGUUUUGAAAUUUUUUACAAAAGCUUCGUAACAUAAUAAAUAUUUAUGUGUUAAAAUGUGAGAUACCAUAUAUGAAUAUUCUUUACGGAAUUCAGUUGCAAAUGAAAUGAAUCCAUAUUAAUGUGAUUCCAAAUACAUUAGGGAAUAUGAAUUUCAUAUAGAAAACCACUUAACAAUAACUUUGAAUUGAGAAUAGAAUUAUCACCAUAUAUUGUCUUUGUGUGAACGUUCA
RNAcentral lists this unclassified non-coding RNA (297 nucleotides) under Hevea brasiliensis (rubber tree). Lineage: Eukaryota; Viridiplantae; Streptophyta; Magnoliopsida; Malpighiales; Euphorbiaceae. The record is from RNAcentral.